UCGAAAAUGGCACUGGCAGUUGGUUACGGUGAUUACUAGGCCACGAACACCUAAGGCGCUUGCUUGGCUAUGCAUAGAGGAGCAGCAGUCCAAGUUUCGGACCAUCGGAAAGCGGGUGCCCAAAGUGCCACUUGUUAAUGAAAUCGUCUUCCCUCUACCGUAUACUAAGCCUGAACUUCAACCCACAUUAAAGAAACAAGCGCUGUGUGACGUUAUCCAUCCCCGAGAACGUCCUUAUGCAUCCUCCUCACCGCUCGGAAAGUGACAACCCACUGCCACUACGGAUGAAUGUAUAUUUCUGCGCUGUUAAUUAUUCGAGUAUUUAAAAACAUAUAAGAAUUUAACUAUAAAACAAA
Molecule: long non-coding RNA, 356 nt
Organism: Aedes aegypti (yellow fever mosquito)
Lineage: Eukaryota; Metazoa; Arthropoda; Insecta; Diptera; Culicidae
Exons: 2
Source: RefSeq, a predicted model, not a curated record